Molecule: transfer RNA, 73 nt
Filed under: Stegodyphus dumicola
Lineage: Eukaryota; Metazoa; Arthropoda; Arachnida; Araneae; Eresidae
Description: tRNA-Lys
Rfam family: tRNA
About the family: Transfer RNA (tRNA) molecules are approximately 80 nucleotides in length. Their secondary structure includes four short double-helical elements and three loops (D, anti-codon, and T loops). Further hydrogen bonds mediate the characteristic L-shaped molecular structure. tRNAs have two regions of fundamental functional importance: the anti-codon, which is responsible for specific mRNA codon recognition, and the 3' end, to which the tRNAs corresponding amino acid is attached (by aminoacyl-tRNA synthetases). tRNAs cope with the degeneracy of the genetic code in two manners: having more than one tRNA (with a specific anti-codon) for a particular amino acid; and 'wobble' base-pairing, i.e. permitting non-standard base-pairing at the 3rd anti-codon position.
Source: RNAcentral
GCCUUCAUGGUGUGGUGGUCUGCACACUGGGCGCUUAUUCCAGAGGUCCCUGGUUCGAUUCCCGGUGAAGGCG